AGUGAACGCUGGCGGUAGGCCUAACACAUGCAAGUCGAACGGCAGCACAGUAAGAGCUUGCUCUUACGGGUGGCGAGUGGCGGACGGGUGAGGAAUACAUCGGAAUCUACUUUUUCGUGGGGGAUAACGUAGGGAAACUUACGCUAAUACCGCAUACGACCUACGGGUGAAAGCAGUGGAUCUUCGGACCUUGCGCGAUUGAAUGAGCCGAUGUCGGAUUAGCUAGUUGGCGGGGUAAUGGCCCACCAAGGCGACGAUCCGUAGCUGGUCUGAGAGGAUGAUCAGCCACACUGGAACUGAGACACGGACCAGACUCCUACGGGAGGCAGCAGUGGGGAAUAUGGGACAAUGGGCGGAAGCCUGAUCCAGCAAUACCGCGUGGGUGAAGAAGGCCUUCGGGUUGUAACGCCCUUUUGUUGGGAAAGAAAAGCAGCAGGUUAAUACCACGCUGUUCUGACGGUACCCAAAGAAUAAGCACCGGCUAACUUCGUG
Molecule: ribosomal RNA, 492 nt
Filed under: uncultured bacterium
Lineage: Bacteria
Description: partial 16S ribosomal RNA
Rfam family: Bacterial small subunit ribosomal RNA
Source: RNAcentral